CGAGUAUUGGUACGUCAUUGUAUAGCAAAACUUAACGUACAAUUUUUCAUUGCAAUUUAACUUGAAAUUUGCGUUACAAGUUUCUGGAAGAAGGAUUAAAAAUGUUUCAGCUGGAUCAAGUUACAGCAUCUUGGAUGAAAUGAGAUCGGCUUUACCACGUAUCAAAUUCUCUACAUCUAACGAGACAUAAUUAUGUACCACUAAAUUAUAAAGAUGUCUUCUCUAUGGCAACAUUAGGAAAUGCUAAAGCGCUUUCGAUUGAGGACAAAAUCGGUAACUUGAUGUCAAGCAAAGAAUUUGAUGCUCUCGUCAUAGAUUUGGAAGCAGGAAACAGCUUGUUGGAUAACUUCAGAAAAUAUACACUCGAGGAAAAACUCCAAAGAUUUAUAUUUUCCGGCAAUGAUAAUAAUAUAGUAUCAGUUUAUGUAAAGG
This is an RNA transcript of Camponotus floridanus (Florida carpenter ant), 432 nucleotides long. RefSeq lists it as uncharacterized. The record is from RefSeq and is a predicted model, not a curated record. The transcript has 3 exons. Lineage: Eukaryota; Metazoa; Arthropoda; Insecta; Hymenoptera; Formicidae.